AUUGAACGCUGGCGGCAGGCCUAACACAUGCAAGUCGAGCGAGCGGCGGACGGGUGAGUAAUGUCUGGGAAACCGUCUGAUGGAGGGGGAUAACCACUGGAAACUGUAUCUAAUACCGUAUACCCUCAGAUGCGCCCAGAUGGGAUUCGCUAGUAGGUGGGGUAAUGGCUCACCUAGGCGACGACCCCUAGCUGGUCUGAGAGGAUGACCAGCCACACUGGAACGGAGACACGGUCCAGACUCCUACGGGAGGCAGCAGUGGGGAAUAUUGCACAAUGGGCGCAAGCCUGAUGCAGCCAUGCCGCGUGUGUGAAGAAGGCCUUCGGGUUGUAAAGCACUUUCAGCGAGGAGGCGUUACUCGCAGAAGAAGCACCGGCUAACUCCGUGCCAGCAGCCGCGGUAAUAC
Molecule: ribosomal RNA, 406 nt
Filed under: uncultured bacterium
Lineage: Bacteria
Description: partial 16S ribosomal RNA
Rfam family: Bacterial small subunit ribosomal RNA
Source: RNAcentral